Boleophthalmus pectinirostris (great blue-spotted mudskipper) is the source of this 89-nucleotide small nucleolar RNA. RefSeq annotates it as small nucleolar SNORD12/SNORD106. NCBI's taxonomy places the organism in Eukaryota, Metazoa, Chordata, Actinopteri, Gobiiformes, Gobiidae. The record is from RefSeq and is a predicted model, not a curated record. The transcript has a single exon.
GAAGUGGUUUAUGAUGACAAUUUUUUUUCCCCGUCUUAUCGACUUUGGUGAGAACUACAAACUAAGCCAGUUUAUUCUGAAACCACAAA